GGAUGACCUCGAUGUUUGUCCAGUGGAAAGACUUCAACAAUUUUGGGGGCUCGUCCGGGAUUGGAAAAAGGAGAAGGAAUUGGAUCUGGUCCAGUUAACCUACACAGGAUUCACAGGUUCCAGCGCCGGCGCAUCAGAAAGAAUGAACCACCACCAAGAGACACAGCAGAAAUGGACGGUAUGGGAACUCCUCGGUUGGCCGGACAGCGACACCGAGGAGGAGGAUAACCCCUACUGUCCUCUGCGGCACACCGGGCCUCCACAGCAUCCACCCCGGAGGAGACGUCGACAGAUGCGACGUAAGCAAACCUCCGUGUGUCCGCCCCAAGAAUUUCUUGGCGGGGUGCUGUGGGGGCAGGCGGAGUGGAAGGACGCGGCCGUGCCACCCAUGCUCACGUGUGGGGUAGUCCAGGUGCCCCAGCCCUGCCCGGUGCCAGCUACUAGGCGUUGGGCAACAACGCCGGUGGGGCCUAUGAGGGCUUUCCCUGAUGUAGGGAGAUGUGAGGACUGGUGGGGCUAUCGG
Long non-coding RNA from Esox lucius (northern pike), 523 nucleotides. The record is from Ensembl. NCBI's taxonomy places the organism in Eukaryota, Metazoa, Chordata, Actinopteri, Esociformes, Esocidae.